Long non-coding RNA from Peromyscus leucopus (white-footed mouse), 1659 nucleotides. RefSeq lists it as uncharacterized. NCBI's taxonomy places the organism in Eukaryota, Metazoa, Chordata, Mammalia, Rodentia, Cricetidae. The transcript has 2 exons. The record is from RefSeq and is a predicted model, not a curated record.
CACACAUAUGUAGGAAAAACCUGCUUCAUGGAUAAAAAUCCAAGUUUUGUCCAUAAUAAGAAAAAAAGUAACAUAAGGGGAACUUGCCCAAAGAUGUACGACUGGCAAAUAAAUACAUAAAAAACAAAACAAAACAUGGUAUCAUUAGCCAUUGGGGAAAUGCUAACCGAGGUCACAAUAAGAAAACACUGUAGACUUGGUGGGUUGCAUUGGCUAACAAAGAGUAACUUGCUGGGUUUUGACAAGGUUGGAAAACCUGAGCCUUUACCUAGCAUAGGGAAAGUACAAUGGUGCAGUACAAUGGUAUUCUUUAAAGAACAGCCCGAGGGAGACUUAAACCAUUAAACACACACUAUCUUCUCUCUCCUUGAUCUACAUCCAAGAGAAAGAAAAGCGUAUGUCCAUACACAACUUUUAUGAGGGUUUAUCAUUUGUAGUUGUCAAAACAAGGAAAUGACCCACAUAUUCAAAAUAGUUCAUAGAAGAGCAAACUGUAUAUAUUCAUAUAAUGAAACAUCCCACAGCAAUAAAAAAGAAGUGACCUCUUGGUACGUACCACAUGGGUAAAUGUCAAAACAAGUAGGCUUGUUGAAAAAAAAAAAGUACAUCCUGUAUAAUCGUAAUGGCAUGAAAUCCUAGAAAAUGCGCGCUAGUCUAUGGUGAUAGAAAAGAGACCAGUGGGUAUUUGGGAAUGAGGAAGAGGAUAGAAAGAAGUGCGCCGAAGGAAGCGCAAAGGAAGGAGAAAAUGUCUGAGAGGAAUGAAAACCCCAUCCGCAUGGCUGCGUUAGGGUCACGGGUACACAGAGUGCCAGCGCUCGUGAGGUUGUACACUGCAAAUGCCAUUUGUGCGUCAGGAGGCUUUGUAUUUGGGGUCAGCAUGAGUAGUUGCCCCGGAAUCUCCUUGCCAACCCUCCCACAUCACACUUGGUAUUCUUGGGGGCGUGGCUUAGGGGAAGCCAGCAGGAUAGAAAGCACCAUCCCUCAUCUUUGGUGAGGCAGGAAGUAUCUGGCGAUUAGACGUGCACAAACCAGGAUGCUUUGGAAGUGUGGUGUCCAGACUGAGACGUCUUGCUUUUCGAACAUUUAUCAGAUGCCCCCGCCCACCAUUGCUUUUAGUUGGACAGCCUUCCUAAAGCUGCCAGCCUAGGCUCCUGACUGCAUAAGGACUGUGUGAAGACAAUUGAGGCUCUCUUUACCAAGUAAGGACCUUGCCGCAGCGGGAAUGAUCUUCCUUACCACACAGGACACGGAUGAGGACACUGAGGAUCACCAAGGUGAAUCUGAUUGGCCAAGAUUCUACAACCAGGAUAACAGAGAUGAACUUCACAGCCAGAUUUUGAAUUUUUAGUUGGCAUUUUGUUUCAUUUUCACUCUCCUCACAUGCUUCCUGGGUGUGUAGUUUUAAUCUACUGUCUAUUUAAUAUUCCCUGUAGCAAGAACUCUCCAGCCUUAUAGGGCUGUUCUCCCCCUGACCCCAGCACUCAAAUAAAAUGAUACUGUGGCUGUACAGCUUUCCAUGGGAAGUAUGGACACACCACAAAUUUUCCAAAAAAUCUCAAGGUUAGAGGAGAACUAGCCCUUUCAUCCCCCCUCAUUUCGAGUUCACCUCCCUGUUUUCUUAUCACCUGCCCCCUUGAAUAAAAUAAUUACCACAACACU